Molecule: long non-coding RNA, 1945 nt
Filed under: Olea europaea subsp. europaea
Lineage: Eukaryota; Viridiplantae; Streptophyta; Magnoliopsida; Lamiales; Oleaceae
Source: RNAcentral
GACAAAAUUACAAGCUCACUAGCCUCUCAUAUACAAGAAAAAAUAUAUAUAUACAAAUUUCUCUUUGUGGGUUCUAAAGUAUGGCAAAGGACGCUGGAGUGGCGGAGCAUGGAUCGUUCGCGGCAAAGGACUACCAAGAUCCACCACCAGCUCCGCUGAUUGACGCGGAGGAGCUUACAAAGUGGUCAUUUUACAGAGCUGUUAUAGCCGAGUUUAUAGCCACCUUGCUCUUCCUUUACAUUACGGUUUUGACUGUGAUUGGGUACAAGAGCCAGAUUGAUACCACGGUUGGCCACGGCGGUGAUCAGUGCGGUGGCGUUGGAAUUCUUGGUAUUGCAUGGGCCUUUGGUGGAAUGAUCUUCGUUCUUGUCUACUGCACCGCUGGAAUUUCCGGUGAGUUUUGUCUAUUCGCACACAGAUACAUGCAUCCAUGUAUGGUUUGAUUUUAAUGGCAUUUCUCAUGUCAUGUCAUGUGCAUCUCAGGGGGACACAUUAAUCCAGCAGUGACAUUCGGGCUUUUCUUGGCCCGAAAGGUGUCAAUGAUCAGAGCCAUUAUGUAUAUGGUGGCUCAGUGUUUGGGGGCCAUUUGUGGCGUCGCGCUGGUGAAGGCGUUACAGAAGUCACACUAUAAGAAAUAUGGCGGCGGCGUAAAUGAGCUCGCCGAUGGCUACAGCACCGGCGUCGGAUUAUCCGCGGAGAUAAUCGGAACAUUCGUCCUUGUUUACACAGUUUUCUCUGCCACUGAUCCCAAGAGAAGUGCCAGGGAUUCCCAUGUCCCUGUAAGUUGACAUACACAAUUCUCUCUUUUUUUUUUUUUUGCCUUUUGAGAAGUGCAUGUUUGGCUAACCUUAAAAAAUUUACUUAUAACUGAAUAAGUAUUAAAAUAAUUUUUUGGGGGGUCCAAGUGGAAAAUAAUUUACUUAUGUAUUAGUAGCUUUACUGACAAUAUUCCUUAAAAGUAAUUUAAUAUUGACAAUGUUUGCAUUUGGACUUCAAUCUUAGGUAUUGGCACCUCUUCCAAUUGGAUUUGCAGUUUUCAUGGUUCAUUUGGCCACCAUCCCCAUCACUGGUACUGGUAUCAACCCUGCUAGGAGUUUAGGGGCUGCAGUGAUCUACAACCAGGAAAAAGCUUGGGAUGAUCAGGUUAGCAUUUUUCCCAAUGUAUUAUAAAUUAGAUUUAACUAUAGGAAUAAUGUUUUGCGCCAUUUCAUUCACUUUAUUUAUUGCUAAUUCUUCUCGAAAAGCCCCGAUAAAUUUCAAGUUCAUUGUCAACAUACCAGCUCUCGUGUUUUUAUGAAUUUUUUCAAUUAUGAGAGCCUCGUCAAAAAGUAUCAUUCAACUCAUGUUAUAAGAAGUGACUUCGUGUCAACCUCCUUUCUUUAUUCGAACUUGAGACUGACUAUAAACAAAAAUAGCAAAAAGUUAUAUUUCAAAAGCUCUAAACAUAUAGUUUUCAAUAUUAUUUAUACCCCCACCCAAAAUCACAAGUAGUAAUUUAUCUAUUUACUUUCGUGUCCUUCAGUGGAUCUUCUGGGUUGGACCCUUCUUUGGUGCAGCCAUUGCAGCCUUCUACCACCAGUUUAUUUUGAGAGCAGGAGCAGCUAAAGCCCUUGGUUCAUUCAGAAGCAGCUCCCAUGUUUAAUUAUUGUUGAAAAUCACUUUUUUUUUAUCAUUGCUUUUCGGCAAAUGAUUGAAUGAAUAACCGUGUAUUGCAAUUAGGGUUCGUGUUUAAGAUUUCUCAAGCUUUCACCAUCAAUUAUUCUAAAAAAUGAUGGAAGAAUUCUUGUCAGCUAUGAAAUUAUUUUUAAAGUGCAACUUUUCCUGAAUAUUGUUUCUAGCUUGUAUGUUUGUUGCAAUAUUAUUAUUAUUAUUAUUAUUAUUAUUAUUAUUAUUUGAAAUUGAUAUAGUUUGAGCAAAGAUCUUAUACGAACACGUAUCGAUUGGC